ACCCACGAUUAUGACGUCAAGAUGCGCAACGUCGUGAAAUUUCUCGAGAAUGGCGACAAGGUGAAGGUCACCCUGCGUUUCCGCGGCCGCGAGAUGGCACACCAGGAACUGGGGAUGGAUCUUCUUAACCGCGUCGCCUCGGAUAUCGAGGAAAUCGGCAAGAUCGAGAACAUGCCACGGCUUGAAGGACGCCAGAUGGUGAUGAUGAUCGGCCCGCGCUGAGCCGCGCCCGCCGGUGUUCCAAGAAGCCCCCGCUUGGGGGCUUUUUCAUUGGGAGUGUCCGCAAACUGCGUUGGUGACCUUCCAAUUAGAGCAAAAUGGCCAA
Molecule: unclassified non-coding RNA, 325 nt
Filed under: Allgaiera indica
Lineage: Bacteria; Pseudomonadati; Pseudomonadota; Alphaproteobacteria; Rhodobacterales; Paracoccaceae
Description: Defluviimonas indica Long range pseudoknot
Source: RNAcentral